RNAcentral lists this ribosomal RNA (665 nucleotides) under Salmonella enterica. RNAcentral describes it as "partial 23S ribosomal RNA". It matches the Rfam family "Bacterial large subunit ribosomal RNA", at positions 1200 to 1846 of the family's 2925-position model. Lineage: Bacteria; Pseudomonadati; Pseudomonadota; Gammaproteobacteria; Enterobacterales; Enterobacteriaceae. The record is from RNAcentral.
CUGCGGCAGCGACACUCAGGUGUUGUUGGGUAGGGGAGCGUUCUGUAAGCCUGCGAAGGUGGCCUGUGAGGGUUGCUGGAGGUAUCAGAAGUGCGAAUGCUGACAUAAGUAACGAUAAAGCGGGUGAAAAGCCCGCUCGCCGGAAGACCAAGGGUUCCUGUCCAACGUUAAUCGGGGCAGGGUGAGUCGACCCCUAAGGCGAGGCCGAAAGGCGUAGUCGAUGGGAAACGGGUUAAUAUUCCCGUACUUGGUGUUACUGCGAAGGGGGGACGGAGAAGGCUAUGUUGGCCGGGCGACGGUUGUCCCGGUUUAAGCGUGUAGGUGUGUGUUCCAGGUAAAUCCGGUUCACUUUAACACUGAGGCGUGAUGACGAGGCACUACGGUGCUGAAGCAACAAAUGCCCUGCUUCCAGGAAAAGCCUCUAAGCAUCAGGUAACAUCAAAUCGUACCCCAAACCGACACAGGUGGUCAGGUAGAGAAUACCAAGGCGCUUGAGAGAACUCGGGUGAAGGAACUAGGCAAAAUGGUGCCGUAACUUCGGGAGAAGGCACGCUGACACGUAGGUGAAGUGAUUUACUCAUGGAGCUGAAGUCAGUCGAAGAUACCAGCUGGCUGCAACUGUUUAUUAAAAACACAGCACUGUGCAAACACGAAAGUGGACGUAU